Long non-coding RNA from Nematostella vectensis (starlet sea anemone), 3704 nucleotides. RefSeq lists it as uncharacterized. NCBI's taxonomy places the organism in Eukaryota, Metazoa, Cnidaria, Anthozoa, Actiniaria, Edwardsiidae. The record is from RefSeq and is a predicted model, not a curated record. The transcript is spliced from 2 exons.
GGGAUGUAACUUACCAUGCGAAGGUAUGGGGAAGGGAUGUGACUUACCAAGUUAUGGAAAAGGGAUGUAACUUACCAUGCGAAGGUAUAAGAAAGGGAUGUGACUUACCAAGGUAUGGGAAAGGGAUGUGACUUACCAAGGUAUGAGAAAGGGAUCUGUUUUUCCAAGGUAUGGGAAAGGGUUGUGACUUAUCAAGGUAUGGGAAAGGGAUGUGACUUACCAAGGUAUGGGAAAGGGAUGUGACUUACCAAGGUAUUGGAAAGGGAUGUAACUUACCAAGGUAUGAGAAAGGGAUCUGUUUUACUAAGGUAUGGGAAAGGGAUGUGACGUACCUUACCAAGGUAUGGGAAAGUGGUGUUACUUACCAAGAUAUGGGAAAGGGAUGUGACUUACCAAGGUAUGAAAAAGGGAUGUGACUUACCUUACCAAGGUAUGUGAAAGGGAUGUAACUUACCAUGCGAAGGUAUGGGGAAGGGAUGUGACUUACCAAGGUAUGGGAAAGGGAUGUGACUUACCAAGGUAUGGUAAAGGGAUGUGACUUACCAAGGUAUGAGUAAGGGAUCUGUUUUUCCAAGGUAUGGGAAAGGGAUGUGACUUACCAAGGUAUGGGAAAGGGAUGUGACUUACCAAGGUAUGAGAAAGGGAUGUGACUUACCAAGGUAUGUGAAAGGGAUGUGACUUACCAAGAGAUGGGAGAGGGAUUGGAAAGGGAUGUUACUUACCGUAUCAAGGUAUGGGAAAGGGAGGUGACAUACCAAGGUAUGGGAAAGGGAUGAGACUUACCAAGGUAUGGGAAAGGGAUGUGACUUACCGUAUCAAGGUAUGGUAAAGGGAGGUGACUUACCAAGGUAAGGGAAAAAGAUGUGACUUACCAAGGUAUGAGAAAGGGAUGUGACUUACCAAGGUAUGUGAAAGGGAUGUGACUUACCAAGAGAUGGGAAAGGAAUUGGAAAGGGAUGUGACUUACCAAGGUAUGGGAAAGGGAUGAGACUUACCAAGGUAUGGGAAAGGGAUGAGACUUACCAAGGUAUGGGAAAGGGAUGAGACUUACCGUAUCAAGGUAUGGUAAAGGGAGGUGACUUACCAAGGUAGGGGGAAGGGAUGUGACUUACCAAGGUAUGGGAAGGGAUGUGACUUACCAAGGUAUGGGAAAGGGAUGUUACUUACCGUAUUAAGGUAUGGGAAAGACAGGUGACUCACCAAGGUAGGGGAAAGGGAUGUGACUCACCAAGGUAUGGGGAAGGGAGGUGACAUACCAAGGUAUAGGGAAGGGAGGUGACAUACCAAGGUAUGGUAAAGGGAGGUGACUCACCAAGGUAGGGGAAAGGGAGGUGACAUACCAAGGUAUGGGAAAGGGAGGUGACUUACCAAGGUAUGGGAAGGGAUGUGACUCACCAAGGUAGGGGAAAGGGAGGUGACUCACCAAGGUAGGGGAGAGGGAGGUGACUCACCAAGGUAGGGGAAAGGGAGGUGACUCACCAAGGUAGGGGAAAGGGAGGUGACUCACCAAGGUAGGGGAAAGGGAGGUGACUUACCAAGGUAGGGGAAAGGGAGGUGACUCACCAAGGUAGGGGAAAGGGAGGUGACUCACCAAGGUAUGGGAAAGGGAGGUGACUCACCAAGGUAUGGGAAGGGAUGUGACUUACCAAGGUAUGAAAAAGGGAUGUGACUUACCUUACCAAGGUAUGUGAAAGGGAUGUAACUUACCAUGCGAAGGUAUGGGGAAGGGAUGUGACUUACCAAGUUAUGGAAAAGGGAUGUAACUUACCAUGCGAAGGUAUAAGAAAAGGAUGUGACUUACCAAGGUAUGGGAAAGGGAUGUGACUUACCAAGGUAUGAGAAAGGGAUCUGUUUUUCCAAGGUAUGGGAAAGGGUUGUGACUUAUCAAGGUAUGGGAAAGGGAUGUGACUUACCAAGGUAUGGGAAAGGGAUGUGACUUACCAAGGUAUUGGAAAGGGAUGUAACUUACCAAGGUAUGAGAAAGGGAUCUGUUUUACUAAGGUAUGGGAAAGGGAUGUGACGUACCUUACCAAGGUAUGGGAAAGUGAUGUUACUUACCAAGAUAUGGGAAAGGGAUGUGACUUACCAAGGUAUGAAAAAGGGAUGUGACUUACCUUACCAAGGUAUGUGAAAGGGAUGUAACUUACCAUUCGAAGGUAUGGGGAAGGGAUGUGACUUACCAAGGUAUGGGAAAGGGAUGUGACUUACCAAGGUAUGGUAAAGGGAUGUGACUUACCAAGGUAUGAGUAAGGGAUCUGUUUUUCCAAGGUAUGGGAAAGGGAUGUGACUUACCAAGGUAUGGGAAAGGGAUGUGACUUACCAAGGUAUGAGAAAGGGAUGUGACUUACCAAGGUAUGUGAAAGGGAUGUGACUUACCAAGAGAUGGGAGAGGGAUUGGAAAGGGAUGUUACUUACCGUAUCAAGGUAUGGGAAAGGGAGGUGACAUACCAAGGUAUGGGAAAGGGAUGAGACUUACCAAGGUAUGGGAAAGGGAUGUGACUUACCGUAUCAAGGUAUGGUAAAGGGAGGUGACUUACCAAGGUAAGGGAAAAAGAUGUGACUUACCAAGGUAUGAGAAAGGGAUGUGACUUACCAAGGUAUGUGAAAGGGAUGUGACUUACCAAGAGAUGGGAAAGGAAUUGGAAAGGGAUGUGACUUACCAAGGUAUUGAAAAGGGAUGUUACUUCCCGUAUCAAGGUAUGGGAAGGGAGGUGACUUACCAAGGUAAGGGAAAAAGAUGAGACUUACCAAGGUAUGGGAAAGGGAUGUGACUUACCGUAUCAAGGUAUGGUAAAGGGAGGUGACUUACCAAGGUAGGGGGAAGGGAUGUGACUUACCAAGGUAUGGGAAGGGAUGUGACUUACCAAGGUAUGGGAAAGGGAUGUUACUUACCGUAUUAAGGUAUGGGAAAGACAGGUGACUCACCAAGGUAGGGGAAAGGGAUGUGACUCACCAAGGUAUGGGGAAGGGAGAUGACAUACCAAGGUAUGGUAAAGGGAGGUGACUCACCAAGGUAGGGGAAAGGGAGGUGACAUACCAAGGUAUGGGAAAGGGAGGUGACUUACCAAGGUAUGGGAAGGGAUGUGACUCACCAAGGUAGGGGAAAGGGAGGUGACUCACCAAGGUAGGGGAGAGGGAGGUGACUCACCAAGGUAGGGGAAAGGGAGGUGACUCACCAAGGUAGGGGAAAGGGAGGUGACUCACCAAGGUAUGGGAAAGGGAGGUGACUCACCAAGGUAUGGGAAGGGAUGUGACUUACCAAGGUAUGAAAAAGGGAUGUGACUUACCUUACCAAGGUAUGUGAAAGGGAUGUAACUUACCAUGCGAAGGUAUGGGGAAGGGAUGUGACUUACCAAGGUAUGGGAAAGGGAUGUGACUUACCAAGUUAUGGAAAAGGGAUGUAACUUACCAUGCGAAGGUAUAAGAAAGGGAUGUGACUUACCAAGGUAUGGGAAAGGGAUGUGACUUACCAAGGUAUGAGAAAGGGAUCUGUUUUUCCAAGGUAUGGGAAAGGGAUGUGACUUACCAAGGUAUGGGAAAGGGAUGUGACUUACCAAGGUAUGAGAAAGGGAUGUGACUUACCGUAUCAAGGUAUGGGAAAGGGAGGUGACAUACCAAGGUAUGGGAAAGGGAUGAGACUUACCAAGGUAUGGGAAAGGGAUGUGACUUACCGUAUCAAGGUAUGGUAAAGGGAGGUGACUUAC